GCGAAAGUGGCGGAAUUGGUAGACGCGCAAGAUUCAGGAUCUUGUGGCCGCAUAGGUCGUGGGGGUUCGAGUCCCCCCUUUCGCACCA
Molecule: transfer RNA, 88 nt
Filed under: Acidobacteriota bacterium
Lineage: Bacteria; Pseudomonadati; Acidobacteriota
Description: tRNA-Leu
Rfam family: tRNA
About the family: Transfer RNA (tRNA) molecules are approximately 80 nucleotides in length. Their secondary structure includes four short double-helical elements and three loops (D, anti-codon, and T loops). Further hydrogen bonds mediate the characteristic L-shaped molecular structure. tRNAs have two regions of fundamental functional importance: the anti-codon, which is responsible for specific mRNA codon recognition, and the 3' end, to which the tRNAs corresponding amino acid is attached (by aminoacyl-tRNA synthetases). tRNAs cope with the degeneracy of the genetic code in two manners: having more than one tRNA (with a specific anti-codon) for a particular amino acid; and 'wobble' base-pairing, i.e. permitting non-standard base-pairing at the 3rd anti-codon position.
Source: RNAcentral